UUUCCGUAGGUGAACCUGCGGAAGGAUCAUUAUAAAUGAAAAACGAAUAACUUCAGGGAAGAAGGGAACCUGCACGGUGACCUCCCCUGUCGGGCCACCCAAUACCUUCAAAAUGCCGCCGUCCUAGCGGUGGCAGACGAAAAAAAAACGAGAAAAACAAAAUAGAAACAGGCACGGUGGCCCGUUCACCUUCACACAACCCUCCGAGUACCGCUUCCAUGUUGCUUCCCCGCAAAUCCACCUCUUUGGUGGGCGCGGGGGAGGUCCGCAUCAAAUUCACCUGAAUGUCACAGUAGUCAGACAGCCAUUCAUGGAAACAAUAAAACUUUCAACAACGGAUCUCUUGGUUCCC
RNAcentral lists this unclassified non-coding RNA (352 nucleotides) under plant metagenome. RNAcentral's name for it is "partial contains small subunit ribosomal RNA, internal transcribed spacer 1, and 5.8S ribosomal RNA". The record is from RNAcentral.